GUGCCAGCAGCCGCGGUAAUACGUAGGUGGCAAGCGUUGUCCGGAAUUAUUGGGCGUAAAGCGCGCGCAGGUGGUUCCUUAAGUCUGAUGUGAAAGCCCCCGGCUCAACCGGGGAGGGUCAUUGGAAACUGGGGAACUUGAGUGCAGAAGAGAAGAGUGGAAUUCCACGUGUAGCGGUGAAAUGCGUAGAGAUGUGGAGGAACACCAGUGGCGAAGGCGACUCUUUGGUCUGUAACUGACGCUGAGGCGCGAAAGCGUGGGGAGCAAACAGGAUUAGAUACCCUGGUAGUCCACGCCGUAAACGAUGAGUGCUAAGUGUUAGAGGGUUUCCGCCCUUUAGUGCUGCAGCAAACGCAUUAAGCACUCCGCCUGGGGAGUACGGCCGCAAGGCUGAAACUUAAAGGAAUUGACGG
Molecule: ribosomal RNA, 413 nt
Filed under: uncultured organism
Description: SSU rRNA
Rfam family: Bacterial small subunit ribosomal RNA
Source: RNAcentral